Molecule: non-coding RNA, 46 nt
Organism: Schistosoma mattheei
Lineage: Eukaryota; Metazoa; Platyhelminthes; Trematoda; Strigeidida; Schistosomatidae
Source: Rfam
GCACUGCCGAGGAGUUCAAUACUAGGACGAAACGGCCGUCCAGUGC